GGUUAACGCUGGCGGCGCGCAUAACACAUGCAAGUCGAGCGAGGGCUUAUUUCUCGCAAGAGAGAUGAGUUCCUAGCGGCGAACGGGUGAGUAACACGUGGGCAACCUUUCCUAUCGCGGGGGAUAACACCGGGAAACCGAUGCUAAUACCGCAUGUCGUCACUGGUCGCAUGGCUGGUGAAGAAAGCAGCAAUGCACGAUGGGGUGGGCCCGCGGCCUAUCAGCUAGUCGGUGGGGUAACGGCCUACCGAGGCGAUGACGGGUAGCUGGUCUGAGAGGACGGCCAGCCACACGGGGACUGAGACACGGCCCCGACUCCUACGGGAGGCAGCAGUGAGGAAUCUUCCGCAAUGGGCGAAAGCCUGACGGAGCGACGCCGCGUGUGCGAUGAAGUCCUUCGGGAUGUAAAGCACUGUCGGAGGGGAAGAAAGAAAUGACGGUACCCUCCAAGAAAGCCCCGGCUAACUACGUGC
Molecule: ribosomal RNA, 473 nt
Filed under: uncultured bacterium
Lineage: Bacteria
Description: bacterial SSU rRNA
Rfam family: Bacterial small subunit ribosomal RNA
Source: RNAcentral